CGCAUCUGUGCAUGCAGCAUAUCAAUAAGCGGAGGAAAAGAAACUAACAAGGAUUCCCCUAGUAACGGCGAGUGAAGCGGGAAGAGCUCAAAUUUGAAAUCUUAAAGGGUUUCCCUUUACGAAUUGUAGUUUAAAGAAGUGUUUUUUGUUGAGGUUUUGGUAAAAGUUCUUUGGAAUAGGACAUCAUAGAGGGUGAGAAUCCCGUAUUUGACCUUUACUUUCAACUUUGUGAUACACUUUCAAAGAGUCGGAUUGUUUGGGAAUGCAGUCCAAAAUGGGUGGUAAAUUUCAUCUAAAGCUAAAUAUUGGCGAGAGACCGAUAGCGAACAAGUACCGUGAGGGAAAGAUGAAAAGAACUUUGAAAAGAGAGUUAAACAGUACGUGAAAUUGUCAAAAGGGAAGCGUUUGACACCAGUGUUGUUUUUCUGAAAAUCAAUUAAAGAACUGUUUAUGCUAAGCUGUUUAGACUUUAUCAGCUAACUGUUUAGUUUUGAGCUUUUCUUUAAUGCACUUUUCAGUUAACAAGUCAACAUCAAUUUCUUUUGCUGUAAAAAAGCUUGAGGAAGGUGGCUUGAGAUUCGUCUUAAGUGUUUAUAGCCUCUUGCCUAUGCAGUCGGAGAGAUUGAGGUCUGCAGCGUAGAUCCUUCGGGGCUAAAUGCAUUUGUGCUAAGUUAUAGCAUUUUAUAGACAACUUGUUGACUAUGAUUUGUCUUGUAGCUUACUCGCUUAUGUUAUUUUACCUACGCUUAGGAUGUUGACAGCAGUAUAGACUGU
This 774-nucleotide ribosomal RNA is filed under the name uncultured Neocallimastigales. Its description in RNAcentral is "partial large subunit ribosomal RNA". It matches the Rfam family "Eukaryotic large subunit ribosomal RNA", at positions 26 to 637 of the family's 3401-position model. Lineage: Eukaryota; Fungi; Neocallimastigomycota; Neocallimastigomycetes; Neocallimastigales. The record is from RNAcentral.